RNAcentral lists this long non-coding RNA (237 nucleotides) under Elaeis guineensis (African oil palm). Its description in RNAcentral is "long non-coding RNA (EGUI_LNC071995)". Lineage: Eukaryota; Viridiplantae; Streptophyta; Magnoliopsida; Arecales; Arecaceae. The record is from RNAcentral.
GCAGGCGGGCGACUCCAGUGAGCCCGCAGCUAAAAAAAGAUCGAGUGAAGCUCGGCCACAUUCUCGAACUCCCCCAGGACACAAGCAUAUCCGAACUCCCCCUCGAGCUCGUAGGUAGAGAAGUUCGGACCGCAGAGUUUGGUGGAGCUCUCCCCCAGAAAGAUUCCACAGCUACGCCCCUCUCAAUGCUCCAAAAACUCAAGUGCUGAUGGAGAUCAGGGAGCAGCUGCCAAGGCC